GGGCACUUCCGGAAUCGACCGGCUGCCUGAGUGCCCGCGCCACCCGCUACCAUGAACGAGGAGGCCAUCUGCAGCGUCCUGCCCACCAUCCCGUAACACAAGCUCGCCGACUUGCGCUACCUGAGCCGCGGCGCGUCCGGCACCGUGUCUUCUGCCCGCCACGCAGACUGGCGCGUUCAGGUGGCCGUGAAACACCUGCACAUUCACACCCCGCUGCUCGACAGUGAUUGGUCAAUUAUUGUCUGUAACAUGACUUCUGCCCAUAGGAGGACCUUCCCCAACAAUCUCCCAAAGCCUUAUGAGUAGACUGCUGCCAUGUCAUGAGGACAUUCAGGGAGCCAGUGGAGAGCCCUAUGUGACAAAGAAACAAGACCUGACAGCAACAACGAAAGUGACAUACGGAUAAAGAAGGAUGCUAAAUGAAUGCAGAUUUGAUACGGAUGAUUUCCAGCCAACUGCUGCCCUUUCUGUCCUGGCUUGAUGGCUAAUCACCAAAAUACAUUUCAGAGCUGUUCUCUUUCCUCAUAUAUUUCAUUUGAGAAUGAAUUCAUUUCUGUUUCAAAUGGUCCCAUUCGGGAAAACCUAGAUCCCAUCAACAACAGCUUGAGAAUAGAAUCGAGGAGUAGAAAGGCAAGAAAGAAGAGAGGCAUGGACAUAUAUACACUAACAAACGUAAGGUAGAUAGCUAGUGGGAAGCAGCCGCAUGGCACAGGGAUAUCGGUUCGGUGCUUUGUGACCGCCUGGAGGGGUGGGAUAGGGAGGGUGGGAAGGAGGGAGACGCAAGAGGGAAGAGAUAUGGAAACAUAUGUAUAUGUAUAACUGAUUCACUUUGUUAUAAAGCAGAAACUAACACACCAUUGUAAAGCAAUUAUACCCCAAUAAAGAUGUUU
This 890-nucleotide long non-coding RNA is filed under the name Phocoena sinus (vaquita). Its description in RNAcentral is "lncRNA (ENSPSNG00000009188.1)". The record is from RNAcentral. Lineage: Eukaryota; Metazoa; Chordata; Mammalia; Artiodactyla; Phocoenidae.